Molecule: ribosomal RNA, 251 nt
Filed under: uncultured bacterium
Lineage: Bacteria
Description: partial 16S ribosomal RNA
Rfam family: Bacterial small subunit ribosomal RNA
Source: RNAcentral
UACGUAGGGUGCGAGCGUUAAUCGGAAUACUGGGCGUAAAGCGUGCGCAGGCGGUGAUGUAAGACAGGUGUGAAAUCCCCGGGCUUAACCUGGGAACUGCAUUUGUGACUGCAUCGCUGGAGUGCGGCAGAGGGGGAUGGAAUUCCGCGUGUAGCAGUGAAAUGCGUAGAUAUGCGGAGGAACACCGAUGGCGAAGGCAAUCCCCUGGGCCUGCACUGACGCUCAUGCACGAAAGCGUGGGGAGCAAACAG